RNAcentral lists this ribosomal RNA (429 nucleotides) under Bacteroidota bacterium. RNAcentral's name for it is "Bacteroidetes bacterium partial 16S ribosomal RNA". It matches the Rfam family "Bacterial small subunit ribosomal RNA", at positions 355 to 776 of the family's 1533-position model. Lineage: Bacteria; Pseudomonadati; Bacteroidota. The record is from RNAcentral.
UAGGGAAUCUUCCGCAAUGGACGCAAGUCUGACGGAGCAACGCCGCGUGAGUGAAGAAGGAUUUCGGUUCGUAAAACUCUGUUGUUAGAGAAGAACAGCGCAUAGAGUAACUGUUAUGCGUGUGACGGUAUCUAACCAGAAAGCCACGGCUAACUACGUGCCAGCAGCCGCGGUAAUACGUAGGUGGCAAGCGUUGUCCGGAUUUAUUGGGCGUAAAGCGAGCGCAGGCGGUCAAUUAAGUCUGAUGUGAAAGCCCCCGGCUCAACCGGGGAGGGUCAUUGGAAACUGGUUGACUUGAGUGCAGAAGAGGAGAGUGGAAUUCCAUGUGUAACGGUGAAAUGCGUAGAUAUAUGGAGGAACACCAGUGGCGAAGGCGACUCUCUGGUCUGUAACUGACGCGGAGGCUCGAAAGCGUGGGGAGCGAACAGG